RNAcentral lists this long non-coding RNA (1341 nucleotides) under Sus scrofa (pig). RNAcentral describes it as "lncRNA (ENSSSCG00065043869.1)". Lineage: Eukaryota; Metazoa; Chordata; Mammalia; Artiodactyla; Suidae. The record is from RNAcentral.
CUGGAAUGUUAGCAAGCUAUUUGCUGGAAAAAAUGCCCACAACAGGCCUAAUGUUGAUCACAUUAAUGCGUUUGAGUGAGUAUGGAGUGCAAAUGAUUGAAAAUGCUUCCAGAUCCCCGUUGCAAGGGACAAAGCAGGCUCUGUUCUCUGAUCUGAUGGUCAUUUUUUUUUCCAGCGGAGGAUGUGGGGCAGGAAGAGGGAAGAGGGCCAAUCUCUGUCUAAUGGUUCCAAACAGGGCCCGGGCCCGGCCCUCUGGAUGCUGACGAGUGGGAAAUGAAACACAGAUGGGUCAGAUGGGUAAGGAGAGGGGGAUUACAGGUCAGGCCAAAGAGUUGGAAUAAAUUAAGUGCUUAUGAGGUACAGAAUGGCACAUUGUUUAAGUGAAUGGACAGGGAAAAAACAUUCCAGCAUUGUUCAUCCGCUGAGGGAGCCCAACGCUCCUCUUCCCAGACGAGCCCAGGCCACAGAGCGCCUCCUCCUCGCCAGGAUGUUUGUGACCCACAGACUGAAAACGCGGCCAGGCGGUGCCCGAAACAUUAUCCUAGCCUCCAAAGAGGCCAGUUUGGCUUUAUUACACGGGAGAUGUAAUUUAUUGGGAGAAAUGUUUGGGUUCGUGUGUCGGAUGGUGGAGAGUCAGAUUUGGAGUUCCCUGGGGAUCUCCGAGGAGAAGGAGAAUUCAGGCAAAGCUGUCCAUUCGGUUGGUAACGAUACAAGCAGGAGAAUAGGACGGAAAUCCAAUUCUUCUGCUCCCUGGGGUGUGACUCUCAUACUGCAUCGCACAGCUUUCAUUUCGCGAAGAACUUGUGGAAGCAGAUGUUCACAAAGCAACUGACCAGGCCAGGUGUGUCCUUCAAGGCUACCUGCAUUCAACAGAGGCGACCACAGCCCAGACCCAUCCUUCUUGGGAGAAUUUCAAGAUGCUCCACAUAGUGGUGCCUAGCGCUCUGUGCACUCAGAGGCUAGAAGAAAAGAUACAGAGGUCCUCUUUCAAGGAGAGGCCCUGAUGUUUCUAUUCUUACAAGGAUUCUUUGGUAAUAAAUACAGUGAAAACACCGUCACCGUAGAGAUAAUACUUAAUGCUCAAGAGGUACGUAGCAGAGAUUGCAUUCCAAUCAAGGACUUCCGUAACCCUGUCUACCAAGCCAGUAUCACCUGUAGGCCAGUUCACCUUCAUCCAGUCACUUUACAGCACUUGAGUGUUUGCUGUCCGCUCAAUUAAAAUCCUACUCUGGUGGGAAAAACCAGAUUUCCAAAUGGGGACUUUAUUGAUUCAAUAAAAUUUAAGAAAUUCUGCUUAUGGAAAAACUCAUUAACCCAAACUAAUAAAUACGAGUUUACCCU